RNAcentral lists this ribosomal RNA (227 nucleotides) under uncultured Atopobium sp. RNAcentral describes it as "partial 16S ribosomal RNA". It matches the Rfam family "Bacterial small subunit ribosomal RNA", at positions 128 to 355 of the family's 1533-position model. The record is from RNAcentral. Lineage: Bacteria; Bacillati; Actinomycetota; Coriobacteriia; Coriobacteriales; Atopobiaceae.
GCCCUUUGCACUGGGAUAGCCUCGGAACGAGGUUAAUACCGGAUACUCCAUAUUUGUCGCAUGGCGAAUAUGGGAAAGCUCCGGCGGCAAAGGAUGGGCCCGCGGCCUGUUAGCUAGUUGGUGGGGGUAGUGGCCUACCAAGGCAAUGAUGGGUAGCCGGGUUGAGAGACCGACCGGCCAGAUUGGGGACUGAGACACGGCCCAGACUCCUACGGGAGGCAGCAGUU